GCGGUGAUAGUUAAGUUGGUAUAAUUUAGGACUGUGGAUCCUAAGUCCGGGGUUCAAGUCCCCGUCACCGCU
This 72-nucleotide transfer RNA is filed under the name Candidatus Woesearchaeota archaeon. Its description in RNAcentral is "tRNA-His". It matches the Rfam family "tRNA". From Rfam's summary of the family: Transfer RNA (tRNA) molecules are approximately 80 nucleotides in length. Their secondary structure includes four short double-helical elements and three loops (D, anti-codon, and T loops). Further hydrogen bonds mediate the characteristic L-shaped molecular structure. tRNAs have two regions of fundamental functional importance: the anti-codon, which is responsible for specific mRNA codon recognition, and the 3' end, to which the tRNAs corresponding amino acid is attached (by aminoacyl-tRNA synthetases). tRNAs cope with the degeneracy of the genetic code in two manners: having more than one tRNA (with a specific anti-codon) for a particular amino acid; and 'wobble' base-pairing, i.e. permitting non-standard base-pairing at the 3rd anti-codon position. Lineage: Archaea; Nanobdellati; Candidatus Woesearchaeota. The record is from RNAcentral.